GUGAUGCAAUAAAUAAAACAUUAGCCAAAGAGUGACUGUGUCUUUCUCUGCUUUUUCUUUCUACAGGUUGUAUUUCAUGUGGAUGUGGGUAUGAUGUGCCACAGCAACAUGAUGUCUUGAUUAGGUUCUUCAAACCCAAGAGAAAUUUCAAGCAGAAGACUAUGAAUGUUGCAGACCUUCUUUUCCCUUCUUUUGUCACAGCUGAUAGGGGCUGUGUAUUCUCAGUCCAUGAGAAGAGCUAAAGAGAAGCAAAUUUUCACUUCAAUGCUUGAGAAUACAUUUUACACAUUAUUUAUAACAUUGGUGGGAUUUAAACUAUUUUGAAUUUCUGUAUUUAUUUACUUUUUUUUCUCAUAAUGUUAGAUCCUUAUCAAAAGUUUUCUUGUUAAGUGAACUUUGGUAUAGAAUUAAUGUUUUCUAUCCAGACUUCCCUAGAAAAUAUAGCAGUUGUGUCACUAUGGAUUAAUGUUAUAUAACCAUGAUAUACCUACUCAUUUGUUGAUGACCAAUUUUAAAAAGAUUCUAUAAUGUGGAAUCCAUUAUGGAGAAUGGGUAUAAGAAUAUGUUUCUUACCUUUUUCACAAAUGAAUUGAGAACAUCCAUUUUGGUUGAAUGCAAUUAAUUAUUUUUACUAACAGUUAAAAUAUAUGGCAUAAAAAUAUAAUACUUAAAUAAAAGCAGGUGUAUAUUUCCA
Molecule: long non-coding RNA, 694 nt
Filed under: Vulpes vulpes (red fox)
Lineage: Eukaryota; Metazoa; Chordata; Mammalia; Carnivora; Canidae
Description: lncRNA (ENSVVUG00000029369.1)
Source: RNAcentral